RNAcentral lists this long non-coding RNA (246 nucleotides) under Ananas comosus (pineapple). RNAcentral describes it as "long non-coding RNA (ACOM_LNC037481)". Lineage: Eukaryota; Viridiplantae; Streptophyta; Magnoliopsida; Poales; Bromeliaceae. The record is from RNAcentral.
UGAGACAAAGAAUCCUAUAGUGGCAAAAGUGAUGAACUUGGACAUAGCCUAGUAGAGUGGCAUUGACUAGUGUAGUAGAAAUACUAAACUUGAACGAGUGGCAUGUCGACUAGUUAGAAGAUAUUACUACAACGACUGAACGAGUGGCAUCGAGUCUAGUGUAGUAAACAUGACAUGGUUCUUGGGAUAGUAGAGGUCCCGGCAUCUAGGAUGCAUUGUAUAUUGUGCAGUAGAGGCACAUCGACC